RNAcentral lists this ribosomal RNA (492 nucleotides) under uncultured bacterium. RNAcentral's name for it is "partial 16S ribosomal RNA". It matches the Rfam family "Bacterial small subunit ribosomal RNA", at positions 29 to 507 of the family's 1533-position model. The record is from RNAcentral.
AGUGAACGCUGGCGGCAGGCCUAACACAUGCAAGUCGAACGGCAGCACAGUAAGAGCUUGCUCUUACGGGUGGCGAGUGGCGGAUGGGUGAGGAAUACAUCGGAAUCUACUUUUUCGUGGGGGAUAACGAAGGGAAACAUACGCUAAUACCGCAUACGACCUACGGGUGAAAGCAGGGGAUCUUCGGAGCUUGCGCGUUUGAUUGAGCCGAUGUCGGAUUAGCUAGUUGGCGGGGUAAAGGCCCACCUAGGCGACGAUCCGUAGCUGGUCUGAGAGGAUGAUCAGCCACACUGGAACUGAGACACGGUCCAGACUCCUACGGGAGGCAGCAGUGGGGAAUAUUGGACAAUGGGCGCAAGCCUGAUCCAGCCAUGCCGCGUGGGUGAAGAAGGCCUUCGGGUUGUAAAACCCUUUUGUUGGGGAAGAAAAGCUGCGGGUUAAUACCCGGCUGUUCUGACGGUACCCAAUGAAUAAGCACCGGCUAACUUCGUG